UUUCCUGCAGGCUGCAAGCUGAGCUCGGUGACCGUGGUUUACACGCCCUGGAGCAACCUGCGCAAAACGCCCGACAUGGACGUGGGGCAGAUCGGCUUCCACCGCAGCAAGGACGUGCGCUCGGUGACGGUGGAGCGGCGCGGGGCGGAGCAGCAAAGUCCCGUUAACCCCUGGUUUCAAUCCCAGUUUAACCCCAGUUCAAUCCCAGUUCAAGCCUGCUUUAAUUCCCGGUUUAAGGCUGCUCUAACCCUGCUUUAAUCCUGGUCUAAACCCCAGGUUAAUCCCGGUUUAACCCUGGUUCAAUCCCAGUUCAAUCCCAGUUUAACCCCGGUUUAACCCCGGUCUAUCCCCCAUAUUCCAGGUCCGUUGGGUGACGUUGGAGCGCCGCAGGGCGGAGCAGCGCACCCCCAUUAAACCUGGGUUUAAUCCCU
RNAcentral lists this long non-coding RNA (431 nucleotides) under Zonotrichia albicollis (white-throated sparrow). Its description in RNAcentral is "lncRNA (ENSZALG00000005097.1)". The record is from RNAcentral. Lineage: Eukaryota; Metazoa; Chordata; Aves; Passeriformes; Passerellidae.